UGCCCUUGUAGCUUAACCCCAAAGCGUCGGUCUUGUAAUCCGAAGACCGAAGGUUAAAAUCCUUCCAAGUG
RNAcentral lists this transfer RNA (71 nucleotides) under Pimelodus ornatus. RNAcentral's name for it is "tRNA-Thr". It matches the Rfam family "tRNA". Rfam says of the family: Transfer RNA (tRNA) molecules are approximately 80 nucleotides in length. Their secondary structure includes four short double-helical elements and three loops (D, anti-codon, and T loops). Further hydrogen bonds mediate the characteristic L-shaped molecular structure. tRNAs have two regions of fundamental functional importance: the anti-codon, which is responsible for specific mRNA codon recognition, and the 3' end, to which the tRNAs corresponding amino acid is attached (by aminoacyl-tRNA synthetases). tRNAs cope with the degeneracy of the genetic code in two manners: having more than one tRNA (with a specific anti-codon) for a particular amino acid; and 'wobble' base-pairing, i.e. permitting non-standard base-pairing at the 3rd anti-codon position. The record is from RNAcentral. Lineage: Eukaryota; Metazoa; Chordata; Actinopteri; Siluriformes; Pimelodidae.